GAAAAUAUCUAGAUAUUUGUUAAAGUGAAAUGGAGGGCUAGGAUUGGCCUAGAGAAGUUGCCUUUUGAUCAAGUGGAUAUAAUUGAUCAUGAGCUUAUUACAUAGGAGACUUUUGACACAUUUUGUGGACUUAGAAAAUAUCACAAAACCUCUCCUCUUCUUUGUCUUGGCCGUGAGUGCCUUUUUCCAUUCCCUAACUUCACCAAAUUUUCCAUUCUUCACCAUUUGGUUCCAUUUCAAGCUUGGAAGCUCUAAGGAAAAGUGUAGAGAAUCACUUGCUUAAGAUGAUGGUGUGCCACUUGAGGCCGUUGGUCGUAAGGAUGGCGAGGACUUCGUGGAUUAUGCCGGAGAGUAGAUGGUAGCUUUGGUUAGGCUACAUUUUUGUUUAGGCUUAGGGCCUAGUUUCUUUUGGAUGACUGUAUAGUAUACUCAGACAUGUUUAGUGCCUUUUGGCCGUGCGAUACAUUCGGUUCACGAGUUCUGUUUUGUUUAGGUUUGUGAACUUGAUGUAUCCUUUUGGAAUGUAAAUUAUUCAGGUGCACACUUUGCUUCUCGGAAGCCCGUGAAAUACAAUCUUUGAUAUUGUAUAUUGAUUUCUGUUUGUAUGGUUUAAUGAAUGAGCUUGUAAA
Long non-coding RNA from Trifolium pratense (red clover), 629 nucleotides. RefSeq lists it as uncharacterized. The transcript has 2 exons. The record is from RefSeq and is a predicted model, not a curated record. Lineage: Eukaryota; Viridiplantae; Streptophyta; Magnoliopsida; Fabales; Fabaceae.